This 483-nucleotide ribosomal RNA is filed under the name uncultured bacterium. RNAcentral describes it as "partial 16S ribosomal RNA". It matches the Rfam family "Bacterial small subunit ribosomal RNA", at positions 28 to 506 of the family's 1533-position model. The record is from RNAcentral.
AUUGAACGCUGGCGGCAUGCUUUACACAUGCAAGUCGAACGGCAGCGCGGGCUUCGGCCUGGCGGCGAGUGGCGAACGGGUGAGUAAUGCAUCGGAACGUGCCCAGUAGUGGGGGAUAGCCCGGCGAAAGCCGGAUUAAUACCGCAUACGACCUGAGGGUGAAAGCGGGGGACCGAAAGGCCUCGCGCUAUUGGAGCGGCCGAUGUCGGAUUAGCUAGUUGGUGGGGUAAAGGCUUACCAAGGCGACGAUCCGUAGCUGGUCUGAGAGGACGACCAGCCACACUGGGACUGAGACACGGCCCAGACUCCUACGGGAGGCAGCAGUGGGGAAUUUUGGACAAUGGGGGCAACCCUGAUCCAGCCAUGCCGCGUGCGGGAAGAAGGCCUUCGGGUUGUAAACCGCUUUUGUUCGGGAAGAAAUCCUCUGGGCUAAUACCCCGGGGGGAUGACGGUACCGGAAGAAGAAGCACCGGCUAACUACGU